GAACACAGAAGUUAAGCUCUAUAGCGCCGAAAGUAGUUGGAGGAUCGCUUCCUGCGAGGAUAGGACGAUGCGGUGC
Molecule: ribosomal RNA, 76 nt
Filed under: Leuconostoc mesenteroides
Lineage: Bacteria; Bacillati; Bacillota; Bacilli; Lactobacillales; Lactobacillaceae
Source: RNAcentral